AUUGAACGCUGGCGGCAUGCCUUACACAUGCAAGUCGAACGGUAACAGGUUAAGCUGACGAGUGGCGAACGGGUGAGUAACACAUCGGAACGUGCCCAAUCGUGGGGGAUAACGUAGCGAAAGCUACGCUAAUACCGCAUACGAUCUACGGAUGAAAGCGGGGGAUCGCAAGACCUCGCGCGAAUGGAGCGGCCGAUGGCAGAUUAGGUAGUUGGUGAGGUAAAGGCUCACCAAGCCUGCGAUCUGUAGCUGGUCUGAGAGGACGACCAGCCACACUGGGACUGAGACACGGCCCAGACUCCUACGGGAGGCAGCAGUGGGGAAUUUUGGACAAUGGGCGAAAGCCUGAUCCAGCCAUUCCGCGUGCAGGAUGAAGGCCCUCGGGUUGUAAACUGCUUUUGUACAGAACGAAAAGGUUUCUACUAAUACUAGGAGCUCAUGACGGUACUGUAAGAAUAAGCACCGGCUAACUACGUGCCAGCCGCCGCUGUAA
This 493-nucleotide ribosomal RNA is filed under the name uncultured bacterium. Its description in RNAcentral is "partial 16S ribosomal RNA". It matches the Rfam family "Bacterial small subunit ribosomal RNA", at positions 30 to 523 of the family's 1533-position model. The record is from RNAcentral.